UGCUAUAUGAUUUGGUUUUGAACUUCUUUUCUUUGCUUUCCUACAGUUUACUGAUUUUGGAGUUGAAGGAGUUGUCCCUGUUGAGCUAUUGCCACCUGAGGUGCGCUCAAAAUAUCAAGCUAAACCAAACGAAAAAGCGAAACGAGCAAAGAAAGAAGAAACCAAAGGUGGAUCUCAGGAAACAGAGGGAAACCAGAUUGGUGUUUCUAACAGUGAAGCUGAAGCUGAAGGAGGAAGAGGGGAAGCAGAGGCGAUGGAAAGUGAUGCUGUUGCAGACACUCCUACGCCUGAGGAACAACAAAGACUCGGU
RNAcentral lists this long non-coding RNA (310 nucleotides) under Capsella rubella. Its description in RNAcentral is "long non-coding RNA (CRUB_LNC001899)". The record is from RNAcentral. Lineage: Eukaryota; Viridiplantae; Streptophyta; Magnoliopsida; Brassicales; Brassicaceae.